Molecule: ribosomal RNA, 375 nt
Filed under: uncultured soil bacterium
Lineage: Bacteria
Description: bacterial SSU rRNA
Rfam family: Bacterial small subunit ribosomal RNA
Source: RNAcentral
AGGAUGAACGCUGGCGGCGUGCUUAACACAUGCAAGUCGAACGAUGAAGGCUGGAGCUUGCUCUGGCUGGAUUAGUGGCGAACGGGUGAGUAACACGUGAGUAACCUGCCCCAGACUCUGGGAUAAGCGCUGGAAACGGCGUCUAAUACCGGAUACGAGCUUCCACCGCAUGGUGAGGAGCUAGGAAAGAAUUUCGGUCUGGGAUGGACUCGCGGCCUAUCAGCUUGUUGGUGAGGUAAUGGCUCACCAAGGCGACGACGGGUAGCCGGCCUGAGAGGGUGACCGGCCACACGUGGGACUGGAGACACGGCCCAGACUCCGUACGGAGGCAGCGAGUGGGAAUAGUUGCACAAGUGGGACGCAAGUCCGUGAUGC